GAUGAACGCUGGCGGCGUGCCUAAUACAUGCAAGUCGAGCGAACGGACGAGAAGCUUGCUUCUCUGAUGUUAGCGGCGGACGGGUGAGUAACACGUGGAUACCCUACCUAUAAGACUGGGAUAACUUCGGGAAACCGUAGCUAAUACCGUAUAAUCUUUUGAACCGCAUGGUUCAAAAGUGAAAGACGGUCUUGCUGUCACUUAUAGCUGCAUCCGCGCUGCAUUAGCUAGUUGGUAGGGUAACGGCUUACCAAGGCAACGAUGCAUAGACGACCUGAGAGGGGGAUCGGCGACCCGAGAAGUGAGCCACGGUCAAGACGCCUACGGGAGGGAGCAGUAGGGAAUCUUCCGCAAUGGGCGAGAGCAUGACGGAGCAACGCGGCGUGAGUGAUGAAGGUCUUCGGAGCGUGAAACUCUGUUAUUAGGGAAGAACAUAUGUGUAAGUAACUGUGCAGAGCUUGACGGUACCUAAUCAGAAAGCCACGGCUAACUACGUG
RNAcentral lists this ribosomal RNA (497 nucleotides) under uncultured bacterium. Its description in RNAcentral is "partial 16S ribosomal RNA". It matches the Rfam family "Bacterial small subunit ribosomal RNA", at positions 28 to 507 of the family's 1533-position model. The record is from RNAcentral.